This 1225-nucleotide unclassified non-coding RNA is filed under the name Hevea brasiliensis (rubber tree). Lineage: Eukaryota; Viridiplantae; Streptophyta; Magnoliopsida; Malpighiales; Euphorbiaceae. The record is from RNAcentral.
AAGAAGAAGAAGAAGAAGAAAAAAAGAAGAUCAAUUUUAGGGUGAAUGAAAAAGUAAGUUCAUGAGAAUUUAGCCCUGAAGUCUCCUUUCAAGCUAUAUAGCUUGCAAAUAUGCAUUUGAUGUGUUGAGUAUUUAAUGCAGCAAAGGUUUUCAAACUUGUAGUAAGCAAUGAAGCAGUGAAGAUAGAGCCAAGGGUCAGAAGUUCAAGUGGAAUUGAAUUAGAUAUAGUUAUUAAAUAUUUCUAUAUAAACAUAUUGAAAUUAUCAAAUUGUAACUUAUCAUAAUUUAAUAAGUGAGAUUUUACUUGAAUAUAAUCGAUUAGAAUGUAUUAACAUUUUUUUUAUUAUCACUUUGAGUUUAAAUAUAAUAAUAUCUUGUAAUGAACAAAAAAAAAAAAAGUUAGAACCUAGGGUUAAAUAAAAAGAAGCAUAUUAUUAUGUCCAAAAAAUAAAGAAAACUAGAUUGGCUUCCAUCCAUUAAGUGUAUAUCAUUAUUAUUCUAUACAAUAUAAGUUCUCACUAUUUUGUAUUUAAUGUAAUCUGAUUGUAAGAUUUAUAGAGUUUAACUUUAAAAUUUAUAGAGUUUAACUUUCAAAUCUCACUUUCUUAAUAAAGUAUCCAUGUAUUAUAGGUAUUUUGACAAAAGGAGCAAAUAUGUUUUAAUUUAAAUGUGAUACUAUAAAAUUUAAAAUUUAUCCAUGGAUGAAUAAAAAAAAAUUGUUCUGGUGCUUGUAAUUGUUCUAACAUUGUAAACAUAUGAAGGGGGGAUGGAUAUUUUCACCUUUUUCUUUUUUUUUUUUUGGGUAAGUACUCCUGGGUUUCCCUGUCUGACCUGGAAUGCAACUCAUAUGCUGCCUUAAGCAGAAGAGGAAACUAUGUUUUGUUGCUUGGUUAUGAGCAUAGUUGUUGCGCUCUAGGUUUCUGUGUUGAUGCUGUUGUUGGUUUGCUCAUUAUCAAUGCUGUCUUGGUUUACCUCUAUGUUGAUGCUGUUGUUGGUUUGUUUGUUAUCAGUGUUGUUGUGGGUUUUCUUUGAUGAUAAAAUGCGCUUAGUCUUUUUUAGUGUUGCUAUCAAAAAAAGCAGCAGAGGACACUAAGUUAUAAGAGUUGCAAGAUGUGGCAAGCAAUAUUUGAGCUGCCUGCAUUCUACUUUUGAAAAAAAAAAUUUAUUUUUUGUGUGCUCAUUUAUAUUUGAUUGGUUAAGCAGGUUGUGGAAGUACACAAUCAAU